GACGAACGCUGGCGGCGUGCUUAACACAUGCAAGUCGAACGGAAAGGCCCUGCUUUUGUGGGGUGCUCGAGUGGCGAACGGGUGAGUAACACGUGAGUAACCUGCCCUUGACUUUGGGAUAACUUCAGGAAACUGGGGCUAAUACCGGAUAGGAGCUCCUGCUGCAUGGUGGGGGUUGGAAAGUUUCGGCGGUUGGGGAUGGACUCGCGGCUUAUCAGCUUGUUGGUGGGGUAGUGGCUUACCAAGGCUUUGACGGGUAGCCGGCCUGAGAGGGUGACCGGCCACAUUGGGACUGAGAUACGGCCCAGACGCAUACGGGAGGCAGCAGUGGGGAAUAUUGCACAAUGGGCGGAAGCCGGAUGCAGCAACGCCGCGUGCGGGAUGACGGCCUUCGGGUGGUAAACCGCUUUAGCCUGUGACGAAGCGUGAGUGACGGUAAUGGGUAAAGAAGCACCGGCUAACUACGU
RNAcentral lists this ribosomal RNA (467 nucleotides) under uncultured bacterium. RNAcentral describes it as "partial 16S ribosomal RNA". It matches the Rfam family "Bacterial small subunit ribosomal RNA", at positions 28 to 506 of the family's 1533-position model. The record is from RNAcentral.